CCGGCCGGGAACUCAAAGGAGACUGCCAGUGAUAAACUGGAGGAAGGUGGGGAUGACGUCAAGUCAUCAUGGCCCUUACGACCAGGGCUACACACGUGCUACAAUGGCGCAUACAAAGAGAAGCGACCUCGCGAGAGCAAGCGGACCUCAUAAAGUGCGUCGUAGUCCGGAUUGGAGUCUGCAACUCGACUCCAUGAAGUCGGAAUCGCUAGUAAUCGUGGAUCAGAAUGCCACGGUGAAUACGUUCCCGGGCCUUGUACACACCGCCCGUCACACCAUGGGAGUGGGUUGCAAAAGAAGUAGGUAGCUUAACCUUCGGGAGGGCGCUUACCACUUUGUGAUUCAUGACUGGGGUGAAGUCGUAACAAGGUAACCGUAGGGGAACCUGC
RNAcentral lists this ribosomal RNA (389 nucleotides) under Salmonella enterica subsp. enterica serovar Infantis. RNAcentral's name for it is "bacterial SSU rRNA". It matches the Rfam family "Bacterial small subunit ribosomal RNA", at positions 1127 to 1515 of the family's 1533-position model. RNAcentral also lists the same sequence under 6 other names. Lineage: Bacteria; Pseudomonadati; Pseudomonadota; Gammaproteobacteria; Enterobacterales; Enterobacteriaceae. The record is from RNAcentral.